CUUGGUCAUUUAGAGGAAGUAAAAGUCGUAACAAGGUUUCCGUGGAACAAGUCCUUCCGUGGGUAACGCUUGCUGAAGCCUUAGCAGCCUGGAAGGGUGGCCUUCUUUGACGACUAUAAACAACCAGAGGGCCUGAAAUGCUAGUUCACAAAUUGUGGGCAACACUGUCAAAUUGCGGGAAACCCCUAAAGACCUUGACACCAAGCGUCUGCUGGAAACGGCGGCGUGGCCGAGCUAAUUGCCCUGGGUAUGGUAAAAGUUCAAGGUAUGAGCCUGAGUGAUCGGGUGAAAUGGGCAAUCUGCAGCCAAGUCCUAAGGCCUACAGAGGCUAUGGAUGCUGUUCACAGGCCAAAUGGCAGUGGGUGGAGGGCUGAAAAUCCAGCUCCUUGCUUAAGAUAUGGUCGGUCCUCCCGUGAAAGCAGGAGGGUUAAGUUUACCCCAAAAGAGAACGUUCCGUAGGUGAACCUGCGGAAGGAUCAUUA
RNAcentral lists this ribosomal RNA (482 nucleotides) under Trichoglossum octopartitum. RNAcentral's name for it is "partial 18S ribosomal RNA". The stretch from base 94 to 425 matches the Rfam family "Group I catalytic intron". From Rfam's summary of the family: Group I catalytic introns are large self-splicing ribozymes. They catalyse their own excision from mRNA, tRNA and rRNA precursors in a wide range of organisms. The core secondary structure consists of 9 paired regions (P1-P9). Lineage: Eukaryota; Fungi; Ascomycota; Geoglossomycetes; Geoglossales; Geoglossaceae. The record is from RNAcentral.